RNAcentral lists this ribosomal RNA (435 nucleotides) under Parageobacillus toebii. RNAcentral's name for it is "bacterial SSU rRNA". It matches the Rfam family "Bacterial small subunit ribosomal RNA", at positions 1022 to 1456 of the family's 1533-position model. Lineage: Bacteria; Bacillati; Bacillota; Bacilli; Caryophanales; Anoxybacillaceae. The record is from RNAcentral.
GGGGACAGGGUGACAGGUGGUGCAUGGUUGUCGUCAGCUCGUGUCGUGAGAUGUUGGGUUAAGUCCCGCAACGAGCGCAACCCUUGCCUCUAGUUGCCAGCAUUCAGUUGGGCACUCUAGAGGGACUGCCGGCUACAAGUCGGAGGAAGGUGGGGAUGACGUCAAAUCAUCAUGCCCCUUAUGACCUGGGCUACACACGUGCUACAAUGGGCGGUACAAAGGGCAGCGAACCCGCGAGGUGGAGCGAAUCCCAAAAAACCACUCUCAGUUCGGAUUGCAGGCUGCAACUCGCCUGCAUGAAGCCGGAAUCGCUAGUAAUCGCGGAUCAGCAUGCCGCGGUGAAUACGUUCCCGGGUCUUGUACACACCGCCCGUCACACCACGAGAGUUGCAACACCCGAAGUCGGUGAGGGUAACCCGCACGGGAGCCAGCCGC